AGUGAACGCUGGCGGUAGGCCUAACACAUGCAAGUCGAACGGCAGCACAGUAAGAGCUUGCUCUUACGGGUGGCGAGUGGCGGACGGGUGAGGAAUACAUCGGAAUCUACUUUUUCGUGGGGGAUAACGUAGGGAAACUUACGCUAAUACCGCAUACGACCUACGGGUGAAAGCAGGGGAUCUUCGGACCUUGCGCGAUUGAAUGAGCCGAUGUCGGAUUAGCUAGUUGGCGGGGUAAAGGCCCACCAAGGCGACGAUCCGUAGCUGGUCUGAGAGGAUGAUCAGCCACACUGGAACUGAGACACGGUCCAGACGCCUACGGGAGGCAGCAGUGGGGAAUAUUGGACAAUGGGCGCAAGCCUGAUCCAGCCAUACCGCGUGGGUGAAGAAGGCCUGCGGGUUGUAAAGCCCUUUUGUUGGGAAAGAAAAGCAGCAGGUUAAUACCCCGCUGUUCUGACGGUACCCAAAGAAUAAGCACCGGCGAACUUCGU
This 491-nucleotide ribosomal RNA is filed under the name uncultured bacterium. RNAcentral's name for it is "partial 16S ribosomal RNA". It matches the Rfam family "Bacterial small subunit ribosomal RNA", at positions 29 to 506 of the family's 1533-position model. The record is from RNAcentral.